Ochotona curzoniae (black-lipped pika) is the source of this 127-nucleotide small nuclear RNA. RefSeq annotates it as U11 spliceosomal RNA. The transcript has a single exon. The record is from RefSeq and is a predicted model, not a curated record. Lineage: Eukaryota; Metazoa; Chordata; Mammalia; Lagomorpha; Ochotonidae.
UAAAAAGGCUUCUGUUGUGAGUGCUACAUGUAGAGUGGGUCUGUUUGCUCUUCAUGCGGGAUCAAUAAAGAGAUAUCAGAGGCAUAAAUUUAAAAAAAAUAAAAGGCUAAUGAAAAUACUCUUUUUA